This 69-nucleotide transfer RNA is filed under the name Ichthyscopus lebeck (longnosed stargazer). RNAcentral's name for it is "tRNA-Arg". It matches the Rfam family "tRNA". From Rfam's summary of the family: Transfer RNA (tRNA) molecules are approximately 80 nucleotides in length. Their secondary structure includes four short double-helical elements and three loops (D, anti-codon, and T loops). The record is from RNAcentral. Lineage: Eukaryota; Metazoa; Chordata; Actinopteri; Uranoscopiformes; Uranoscopidae. RNAcentral also lists the same sequence under 1 other name.
AAGCAAUUAGUCUAAGAAAAACAUUUGAUUUCGGCUCAAAAACUUGCAGUUAAAGUCUGCAACUGCUUA